CAGCAGCCACGGGAAUACAGAGGGUGCAAGCGUUAAUCGGAAUUACUGGGCGUAAAGCGCGCGUAGGUGGUUCGCCAAGUUGGAUGUGAAAUCCCCGGGCUCAACCUGGGAACUGCAUCCAAAACUGGCGAGCUAGAGUAUGGUAGAGGGUGGUGGAAUUUCCUGUGUAGCGGUGAAAUGCGUAGAUAUAGGAAGGAACAUCAGUGGCGAAGGCGACCACCUGGACUGAUACUGACACUGAGGUGCGAAAGCGUGGGGAGCAAACAGGAUUAGAUACCCCCGUAGUCCCUGUCUCUUAUAA
This 301-nucleotide ribosomal RNA is filed under the name uncultured bacterium. RNAcentral describes it as "partial 16S ribosomal RNA". It matches the Rfam family "Bacterial small subunit ribosomal RNA", at positions 509 to 809 of the family's 1533-position model. The record is from RNAcentral.